AUGCGUAGACGAACGAAGACAAAGUUGACGAAGCGCCCAGACUUGUCAGGCCCGGGGACACGUUGUGGACGAAGGCACGCUUCGGUGUUGCCAGCACCGGGCAUGCGUAGAUUGGGACCUGCACAAGCUGUACGGCAUGUCAAAGAAGUCGACAAGCCAGUAGAGAAGGACUUGACAACGCUUGCGGUGCCAAUCGGCGCGGGGCCGAUGUCGCCCGCGGUUGUCGGAGUAGAAGAAGUGGUCGGGGUAGAUGACGACGACGCUGGUGAUGGGCUGGUGUUGGACGAAGACGAACGGGGUGGACGGGCGGCUGCGGCGGCUACGGGGGUAGCAGCGGCAGCGGCCGAAGAGGAGCGGCGGCAGCCUGAUGGCGGCAGCGGCGGCUAG
This 387-nucleotide ribosomal RNA is filed under the name Triticum aestivum (bread wheat). RNAcentral describes it as "partial small subunit ribosomal RNA". The record is from RNAcentral. Lineage: Eukaryota; Viridiplantae; Streptophyta; Magnoliopsida; Poales; Poaceae.